GGUGCGCAGCAGCGCUUAAUAGGGAAGUUCGGUAGAGGCCGACGCGAUCCCGUCACUGUGACAGGGAGUCUUCCCCCGUAGACCACUGAGGCGAAAGCUUUGGGAAGGGGCGGGGAGGGCGAUGAUCUGGAGCCAGGAGACCUGCCUGAUGG
This 152-nucleotide non-coding RNA is filed under the name human oral metagenome. The record is from RNAcentral.